This 166-nucleotide ribosomal RNA is filed under the name Plagiochila deflexirama. RNAcentral describes it as "5.8S ribosomal RNA". It matches the Rfam family "5.8S ribosomal RNA". From Rfam's summary of the family: 5.8S ribosomal RNA (5.8S rRNA) is a component of the large subunit of the eukaryotic ribosome. It is transcribed by RNA polymerase I as part of the 45S precursor that also contains 18S and 28S rRNA. Lineage: Eukaryota; Viridiplantae; Streptophyta; Jungermanniopsida; Jungermanniales; Plagiochilaceae. The record is from RNAcentral.
GUAACGACUCUCAGCAACGGAUAUCUUGGCUCUUGCAACGAUGAAGAACGCAGCGAAAUGCGAUACCUAGUGUGAAUUGCAGAAUUCCGCGAAUCAUUGAGUCUUUGAACGCAAGUUGCGCCCGAGGCUUGUCCCGAGGGCAUGCCUGCCUGAGCGUCACCGCACU